AAGUCUCACAUGGGGUAGUUGGUCGUGGAAGCUGACAUGAUGCUUCGGCCCAGAUAAAAUUGUAGAUCCAAGUGUGAUUCUUCGUACAUUAGAAGGCAUCGGUCGUCCGGUAAGAUUCUUCAUCCCUUAACAAUUAGCAUGAGCGAACAGAGUAAUAAUUUUCUCAAGGAUAUAUCAUUUAAGAAUUUUUGCUCAACAUUAGGUAUCGAUUUGAUCUGGAUUUGCCUAAAUAUAUAUCCUAUUGAUUGCAUUAUGGCAAUGUAUUUUCGGCUAUACUUUCAUUGGCAACUUUUGCAGACAGAUUGGCAGCUUGCGAGGCAACAAAUGAAAAUAUCAACAUAGGUAAACAAGAAUUACUAGCGAUUCACAGUUUCCCUCUUGGUAAACCUAAGAUGAAAUUUUUUCAUAAAGAGGCUGAUGAUCUACUACUCAAUAUUAUAAACUGCGCCCAGAUCCCUCUCUCUCUCUCUCUCUCUCUCUCUCUCUCUCUCUCUCUCUCUCUCUCUCUCAAACUAGCAUUUUCCUUAAAAAAAUCCUUGGUCAUUUUGAACUCCUUUUGUGAGCAGUUUUAUGUGUCAAAUUUGACUAAUGGUAGAUAUCCGGUUUAGAACAAACACCUCUCGAUUUUUCGUGAUGAUUGGAAAGCCUGUCAAGUUUCUUAUUGUUCAUUCAAGUAUGAAUUCUGAAUAAGGAAGAGAAACUGAGCUAAAAUAAAAAUCAAGGUUCAAGUUUUUCUGGUGGGUGAUUUAGCAAAAUGAAAAUUAGUUUUGGCUGGCCUGUUUCAUAAAUAUUUGUAGAAAGGCUUUCCAUAACCAAUUGCCGAAGUGUUGGUUUGAAAAAUUAUCAAGUGAAGUAAGUUGGUGCAGCUUUUGUGACAGCUCUGGCUGGUCUAUUUGAUGGUCAAGGCCUACCUUUGUACUUCAAUUCAAAUGACCUAUUGCAUGAUUGGAACAAUUUUUUGCCUGUUGUCUAAAACUAGCUAGGCGUGGCAUUUGUGAUUUUGCUAAUUAGUUUGCAUCCUGUUUGAUCCUGUUGUUGUCGUAGAAUCAUUUCAUUGCAUGAUUGAUCUCGGUUUGGCUAACUUGGCUUAGGAAAUUCAAAUUCCAUACCAGAGACCGAUCAAAAUGAAGAAGAGAGAUUUUGCCAAGGAAUCAUGAACAACAGCUGAGGGCAAGCUUUUGUGCCGACCUUAAAGAGGCUCACAGGCCAACUGGAGUGUC
RNAcentral lists this long non-coding RNA (1220 nucleotides) under Eucalyptus grandis. Its description in RNAcentral is "long non-coding RNA (EGRA_LNC000837)". The record is from RNAcentral. Lineage: Eukaryota; Viridiplantae; Streptophyta; Magnoliopsida; Myrtales; Myrtaceae.